Long non-coding RNA from Oreochromis aureus, 627 nucleotides. NCBI's taxonomy places the organism in Eukaryota, Metazoa, Chordata, Actinopteri, Cichliformes, Cichlidae. The record is from Ensembl.
AUGUAAUCUUCCUUCUAAUAGCGCAACUCCUCCCACUCAUUCAUAAUCCGACCUCCGCGUUUGCACUCGUCCUACAAGAGCUCCCAAAUUUGAACAUCACUGAUGUUCAUCGGAUUUACAGAGUGACGACAAACCCCGUCAGCAUGUUAGAUAAAGGAUUUAAGUUAUAUGCUGCAUCAUAUAUACACAACUACGAAGUGUCCAAAAAACACAGGUUGACAGGGAGGUCGGUGUGAGAGCCCUGUGCUACAGGUCAAUGAGGAAGAGUGAGGCACCACACAGACUAAGUGUAGGCAGGAAGCUGUGUAAAGUUGUUAAUCCCUGUUCAGUGGGGUUCAGUUCAUUUAAGCAUUAGUUAAGUUCAUUCCUGAAGGCCCAUCAACUUGAAUGUUUUCCUUGUCCCCCUGCUUUAUCACACCUAAUUUGACUAGUCAGAUGUGUUUGGGUGAUCAGAAACAAAUUUACACCAAGUUAAUACUGCAAAUAUACACAAUCUAAGUUAUUACAGUUAUCAAGGAUGGUUAAAUUGUUUUAAUAGGGAGAGAAGGAAACACUAAGCAUUCAGGAGGGUAAGCCUGUAGGGGUCAGUAACCAUAACACUGAACUAUGUUCCUGUUUGGCUCUUCC